AAAGUCGUAACAAGGUUUCCGUAGGUGAACCUGCGGAAGGAUCAUUAACACGUAUCCAACGUUAAAACAACCCUGUGAACCUUUAGCGUGCUCUUACCGCUCAUGCGCAGCAAUCCCUGGUAAAUCAUUGUUGACCAGUUUUGAGUCAGGGACCUCUGCCAUAUGAGUUUUAAUCGAGUGCUAGUAUCAAGUGAUCUGGCACCCCCAAGCAUUGGAGUUAGGGACCGAUGUGCAAGGGUGGCGCAGCAAACGAUCGUUAUAGGUCCACACGGCCGACGACCGGGUCACUGGGCUCACGCCCCUUUGUUUACCCCAAUGUCUUAAACCGGGUACAGCUGAAAUGCUGUACCACAAAACGAACAACUGUUAACAAUGGAUAUCUUGGUUCUC
Molecule: unclassified non-coding RNA, 390 nt
Filed under: Cercozoa sp.
Lineage: Eukaryota; Cercozoa
Description: partial contains small subunit ribosomal RNA, internal transcribed spacer 1, and 5.8S ribosomal RNA
Rfam family: Eukaryotic small subunit ribosomal RNA (bases 1-47)
Source: RNAcentral